UUUCUCUACCGUAUCGGUCAAUUUGACCGAUGGCGCGUAAAAACAGGACUACGCAAAAGGAGUGCCUCUAAAUCUUUGCCAUUACGGCCAUAAGAUAUAUGAUCUAUAUAUCAUAUUUUUGGAAAUUGUCUCUAUUUUUUAAAUAUGUAAAAAUCAAUUGAGUAAGUAAAGCCAUAAGAUUAACAAAAGCAUUUAAAGCAAAGGAUGGCUUCGUCUAAAUAUGACGCAAUGCUUUGUCGCAAGGUCAUUUUCCCCCUCGAUAUGAUUUUUUUUAUUUCCCUAAUGAAUGCAAUAUUUUUUUAUUUUUGAAAAUCAUAUAUUCCCUGCUUUCAGAAGAUAUAAAAAUUAUUUUUAAUGCCUUGCAAAGUUAUAAGAAAAUAGCAAUUGUUUGCACAUGUACGUUUUCUUACGAUUUUAUUUUUCAAUGUUUAAACAGAUCGGCAUUUUACCUAUACUUAUAUAUAGAAAUAGGGAAAAGUAAAUACAGCCGCUAAAAGUAGAGGAAAUUUCCUUUUUGAUGGGCCCUUAUUCGUGUUAUAAUUCUCGGUAGUUUUUAUAUUACGAUAAAAUAAAAUUGGGACAUGCUGUGCGGUUUUCUUUAAAAUUAACGACAAAACGUCGUCGCUGAAAGCAAUCGACGCGCGUCGCACAAUAAAGUGGUGAAAACUAUUUGUAUAGUCCUGUAUUAGUAAAUUCAGUACCUUUUGAUACACUACAACAAUAUACAUAUAUGUAUGAAAUAAUCAGCCAGGUUAUCUCUGCUUUUUUUUCAAAAGCUUAAAACCAGUAUUGGUAUAACAGUUACACAACCUACAAACACCUAUUGAAAAUGUUACAUCGGCAAAGUAAAUUUUUAAAAAAGAUAAAUAAACUACUUUAAAUUCAGAUAUAAACGCUAUAUCUGUUUAGAAUAGUAAUAGUAAUAUUUUUUCCCUGCCAAAGAAAGAAAACAAAAAAGAAUUUCGCAUAUAGCAUAUACACUUAUUUUUCCGUGAUCCGGAUCGUGGGCCGCGCGGGGUUUUCUGAAGGUGUGCACGGGGAACACACGUGUUUCCGUUUCAACGAAAACAACACAGCUUCACUGUGAUUGUCACAGCGAACGCUUGUAUUUUACAUCUUUAAAACGACCUGAUGUCAGAAGAAGAUGUCCUGGAUCUCCUGUUGCAGGAUGACCCAAACGAUCAUGCAUUCAGUAUAAACAUGUACAUGGUAUUGACAUCCCAAUAUUUAGUGGGAAGGUCCCAGGUAUCGUCCGCUAGUGACAGUCUACUGGCAAAGCCAGACAUGCAUUGGAAGGAUGUUGAUGUGGAGGACACAGGGACACCUGAUCCAAGAACUGUGGCAUUUCAUUCGGAGCGACAGCCUGGCAUUCAGUUGAUAUGGGACCCGUUUAUUCAGAGAACUGAGAUUUUAUGAAGCUGUUUUGACAGAAGAUUUAGUUUUCUCCAUCUGUGUUGCCAUCAACCAUUAUGCUGAUAUGGUCAUAUCUAGAGGGAAGGAUCGUCAUAUGCUUCCCAAGGAAGUUCGCAGCCUCUCACUGAAGAGGAUACUAGUUUAAAAAAAAACGAUAUUGUGACAGUGAUUUCCAGUUUAAAACGAGUAAUAAAAUGCAUAAUAAAAAUAUUUCCUUUACCAAAAUUAAUUUGGCUGCACAUCUAACACAUUUAUUAAAUGUGUACUCAAUUACCUCAGAUGCAAGGUGAAUAUAAAAUUUCAUAAUUAAAUUUUCAGAGGGCCUUGAUUAUAGAAAACAUUUACAGAGCUAAUUGAGUAUUCGAAAGCUCUGACAAUACAUUAGUAUUAGGGCCCAGUAUUAAGAAAUCCCCCCCCCCCCCGAUUUUUGUGCAUUAUCUUAUACAUGUCUGCUGUGAAGUUCCAGUCGAUAGACAUAUAUUGGUCAAUGCAUGCCCCUAUCGGAACAACCCAGUAUCAAGAAUUGUAUCUAGAAAUACUUUUGUUAAAUAUGAUGCAAGUUCAUUUAAAUCUAGUAAUUGAAAGUAAGUGGGGAUCCGGGUUAGAAUAUGUCCUCAUUAUCCCUUGCUUGUCGUAGAAGGCGAUUAAAUGGGGCGGUCCUUUGGAUGAGACCGCAAAAACCGAGGUCCCAUGUCACAGCAGGUGUGGCACGAUAAAAAUCCCUCCCUGCUCAGAGGCCAUAAGCGCCGAGCAUAGGCCUAAAUUUUGCAGCCCUUCAAGGGUAGUGAUGACGUCUCCAUAUGAGUGAAAUAUUCUCGAGAGGGAUGUUAAAUUAUAUUCAAUCAAUCAAUCAUUGGUAUAUGUUGAACUUGGGGAGAAAAACGGGAGUACUUUUUGAUAACAUUUGAUAAGGUGUUGUUGCUUAGAAACCAAAUAUAUUUGAAUACAAAAAAAUUAUUUCUUUUAGAUUAACAAUAAACAUCUUUGUUUUAAUGUUGCAAUACUUAUUCUAUUUAGUGGAACAUAAUGGCAAAACGUCAUAUUAGAAAAUGAUGGAUAUGUAUAUAAAGUACGAAAUUUACAUUUUAUGACCUUUGACCUUAAUUCUCUUCAUCAUAUUUUUUGUUAAAAACCCUUUAAAAUGAUUAAGAUCUAUUUAAAGAUUAUAUUUUUAAAAUCAUGUGACAUUUACUAAUCAUCAUGCAAUGUAAUUAUGUUUAAAUUGUGUCGAAUGGAUGCAGAAAGGCAAAUUAUGGUCAAAAUUGUACUAAAAGUGUUGUUACUUAGCAACCAAAAAUAUUUGUUUUUAAAUAAAAUUGAUGAAUUUGAUUGUGGUGUUUUGUAGUAUUUUAAAAGGCACAUCAGCUCAUCCAUUUAGAAUUUCCUAUUUUUGACUCUAAUCUUGUAAGAGGGGUUGUAAUAUAUAUAUUUCAGAGAAAAAAGAUUGCAAAAUUGUGCACUUAUAUGACCUUUGACCCCGUAGACCUCCUUGAGGUCAUGGGAUACCUUGACAAACUUUAUAAGAAAUUGUUCCCUGUCCAAUUCCUAACAAAAUUAUAUGUCGUAUGUUUACCCCAAAUCGUGAUACACGCAGAUUUAAAUCGAUGUAAAAAUAUUGUCAUUUAGUCUUUAAAAACCUCUAAAAUCUGCCGGUAGAGAAAGGGUUAA
Molecule: long non-coding RNA, 3081 nt
Organism: Ostrea edulis (European flat oyster)
Lineage: Eukaryota; Metazoa; Mollusca; Bivalvia; Ostreida; Ostreidae
Exons: 3
Source: RefSeq, a predicted model, not a curated record